Molecule: ribosomal RNA, 254 nt
Filed under: uncultured bacterium
Lineage: Bacteria
Description: partial 16S ribosomal RNA
Rfam family: Bacterial small subunit ribosomal RNA
Source: RNAcentral
UACGUAGGGUGCAAGCGUUGUCCGGAAUUACUGGGCGUAAAGGGCGCGUAGGCGGUCGUGACAAGUCACUUGUGAAAUCUCCGGGCUUAACUCGGAACGGUCAAGUGAUACUGUCGGACUAGAGUACAGAAGGGGCAACUGGAAUUCUCGGUGUAGCGGUGAAAUGCGUAGAUAUCGAGAGGAACACCUGCGGCGAAGGCGGGUUGCUGGGCUGAUACUGACGCUGAGGCGCGAAAGCCAGGGGAGCGAACGGG